AACAACGUAAAACAAGAAGUCAUUUAUCAAGUCCCCCAAGGCAGAGGAGGGCUGAAAAUAACGAACCGCUGUACUUUUAGAGCAAUUCUAAAUGUACGGAGAGCAAGCCAACCCAAUGAAGGAUCACUGCAAGAAACCAAGCGGAGCAGAGGAGUAAGAGAGUCGCAACCACUCGGGUUCUGGGUGAGCAAAGGGAACAUCAGAAGCACACGAAGGGACUGCUCAGGAAGUUGGUGGCUGCUCAGCGACUGUCUAGUGGUCUCAAGUACAGGAAAGGCAAAUGAGGAACCAGGAGGCCGGGACAAAGGAGCCUGUUAUCUGUGCAUUGUGGGGGGCUGGGUGGCAUCAGCCCUAAACUGGCAUAGAGACAGGCAGGAUAAAGGGACCAGAGUUUCAGAUUCUAGCUGGAAGCUAAGGAGGACAGGCCCUCUCCUCCACCGUGGCGGGGGAGUAAACUGGUCCCUCCAGCGUGGAAAGCAUUGGACAGGACCUAACGAAACCACAAAGGAGUCAGAAGAGGACAUUACUUCCUGCCCCCUCCUUUCGUACGUUUUAUCUCUUUUGGUUCUGGCACCAUCUGUGAUGUGGCUAUCACCACCCCACCUGGAGCCAGCAACCCCACCUCUAGCCAUUCAUCCUGCGCCUAUACCUGCACAUGGGUUUCUCAAGUGGCUCAGUGGUAAAGAAUCUGCCCACCAAUGCAGGAGACACUGGAGAUCUGGGUUUAAUCCCUGGGUCGGGAAGAUUCCCUGGGGAAGAACCAGUGACCCAGUCCAGGAUUCAUGCCUGGAGAAUCCCAACGACAGAGGAAGCCGGUGCGCUAUAGUUCAGAGGGUCGCAAAGAGUCAGACACGACGGGGCAUGCACACAUACCUGCACAUGUGUGCAACGAUGAAUUUACACAGCUAUUCACACCAGCACAUUUUUCAUAGUAAGCCUGGAAACACCCUCAAAUGUCCACCAAAAAGGGCCUGGGCAGAUGAGUUACAGUGCGUCUAUAUAAUGGAGAACCACGCAGCAGUGAAGGAGACUGGGAAGAUCUCUAACAUCAACAUCGGCAGAAAAACAAAACUUAGAGCAUGCGAGCUAUUUGUGAAAAAUCAAAAGGGGAGCAAAAGUGAAAAUCCAUACAUGCUAUUCGCUUCUAUCUGCAUUAAGUUUUGA
RNAcentral lists this long non-coding RNA (1164 nucleotides) under Capra hircus (goat). RNAcentral describes it as "lncRNA (ENSCHIG00010011304.1)". The record is from RNAcentral. Lineage: Eukaryota; Metazoa; Chordata; Mammalia; Artiodactyla; Bovidae.